CAGUCGCCACGGUAAUACGGAGGGAGCUAGCGUUGUUCGGAAUUACUGGGCGUAAAGCGCGCGUAGGCGGUUACUCAAGUCAGAGGUGAAAGCCCGGGGCUCAACCCCGGAACUGCCUUUGAAACUAGGUGACUAGAAUCUUGGAGAGGUCAGUGGAAUUCCGAGUGUAGAGGUGAAAUUCGUUGAUAUUCGGAAGAACACCAGUGGCGAAGGCGACUGACUGGACAAGUAUUGACGCUGAGGUGCGAAAGCGUGGGGAGCAAACAGGAUUAGAGACCCCCGUAGUCCCUGUCUCUUAUAA
Molecule: ribosomal RNA, 301 nt
Filed under: uncultured bacterium
Lineage: Bacteria
Description: partial 16S ribosomal RNA
Rfam family: Bacterial small subunit ribosomal RNA
Source: RNAcentral